RNAcentral lists this ribosomal RNA (431 nucleotides) under uncultured Flavobacterium sp. Its description in RNAcentral is "bacterial SSU rRNA". It matches the Rfam family "Bacterial small subunit ribosomal RNA", at positions 1 to 438 of the family's 1533-position model. Lineage: Bacteria; Pseudomonadati; Bacteroidota; Flavobacteriia; Flavobacteriales; Flavobacteriaceae. The record is from RNAcentral.
UGACGAGUUGAUCCUGGCUCAGGAUGAACGCUAGCGGCAGGCUUAACACAUGCAAGUCGAGGGGUAUAGUUCUUCGGAGCUAGAGACCGGCGCACGGGUGCGUAACGCGUAUGCAAUCUACCUUUACAGAGGGAUAGCCCAGAGAAAUUUGGAUUAAUACCUCAUAGUAUGUGAGAAUCGCAUGGUUUUCACAUUAAAGUCACAACGGUAAAGAUGAGCAUGCGUCCCAUUAGCUUGUUGGUAAGGUAACGGCUUACCAAGGCAACGAUGGGUAGGGGUCCUGAGAGGGAGAUCCCCCACACUGAUACUGAGACACGGACCAGACUCCUACGGGGAGGCAGCAGUGAGGAAUAUUGGACAAUGGGGCGCAAGCCUGAUCCCAGCCAUGCCGCGUGCAGGAUGACGGUCCUAUGGAUUGUAAACUGCUUUUG